This 343-nucleotide unclassified non-coding RNA is filed under the name soil metagenome. RNAcentral's name for it is "partial contains 5.8S ribosomal RNA, internal transcribed spacer 2, and large subunit ribosomal RNA". The stretch from base 1 to 120 matches the Rfam family "5.8S ribosomal RNA", at positions 35 to 154 of the family's 154-position model. The record is from RNAcentral.
GAUGAAGAACGUAGUGAAAUGCGAUAAGUAAUGUGAAUUGCAGAAUUCAGUGAAUCAUCGAAUCUUUGAACGCACAUUGCGCCCGCUAGUAUUCUGGCGGGCAUGCCUGUCCGAGCGUCAUUUCAACCCUCAAGCCCCCGGGCUUGGUGUUGGGGAUCGGCGAGCCUCCGCGCCCGCCGUCCCCUAAAUCUAGUGGCGGUCUCGCUGUAGCUUCCUCUGCGUAGUAGCACACCUCGCACUGGGAAACAGCGCGGCCACGCCGUUAAACCCCCCAACUUUUUAUAGUUGACCUCGAAUCAGGUAGGACUACCCGCUGAACUUAAGCAUAUCAAUAAGCGGAGGA